GAUGAACGCUGGCGGCGUGCCUAAUACAUGCAAGUCGAGCGAACAGACGAGGAGCUUGCUCCACUGACGUUAGCGGCGGACGGGUGAGUAACACGUGGAUAACCUACCUAUAAGACUGGGAUAACUUCGGGAAACCGGAGCUAAUACCGGAUAAUAUAUUGAACCGCAUGGUUCAAUAGUGAAAGACGGUUUUGCUGUCACUUAUAGAUGGAUCCGCGCCGCAUUAGCUAGUUGGUAAGGUAACGGCUUACCAAGGCGACGAUGCGUAGCCGACCUGAGAGGAUGAUCGGCCACACUGGAGCGGAAACACGGACCAGACUCCUACGAGAGGCAGCAGUAGGGAAUCUUCCGCAAUGGGCGAAAGCCUGACGGAGCAACGCCGCGUGAGUGAUGAAGGUCUUCGGAUCGUAAAACUCUGUUAUUAGGGAAGAACAAAUGUGUAAGUAACUAUGCACGUCUUGACGGUACCUAAUCAGAAAGCCACGGCUAACUACGUG
RNAcentral lists this ribosomal RNA (497 nucleotides) under uncultured bacterium. RNAcentral's name for it is "partial 16S ribosomal RNA". It matches the Rfam family "Bacterial small subunit ribosomal RNA", at positions 28 to 507 of the family's 1533-position model. The record is from RNAcentral.